ACGGGACACCUGCAUCUGCCAACAAGACUGGAAGCAGAAAGGGACAGAGACGGCGAAGUUUGACGGUCUGGAAAGCAGAGACCAGCAGGGCUGACUGCUUGGGAGCACGAGGGACAGCUCUCCACCGACCGAAGGAGGAGAAUGCUAUUUAUUUCAGCACCAAAUAUCCGGACAGCGCCUCUCGGGAGGUCCGAGAAGAGAACCGCGAUCUGUUUCAGCACCGGGGCUCAGGACAGUUCCCAGCGGGCUCCGUUUCGUCUCCAGAACCCUGGACAGCUCCUCCAGUAGAGACGGGGUUUCACCAUGUUGGCCAGGCUGGUCUCAAACUCUUGACCUCUUCAUCCGUCCACCUCAGCCUCCCAAAGUGCUAGGAUUACAGGCGUGAGUCACUGCGCCUGGCCCAAGUCCGGAAUUUUCAACAGGACAUGGGUGUUACUGUGCCCAUGUGACAUUUGGGGAACCCAAGGCCCUGAGAAAGGCAGAAAAAUAACCCACGCAGGGACUCUCAGCCCACAAGUGAAGCUGAGAACCGGGAAUGGAAAACAGGGAGGCAGCACAGAGGCAGGAAACUCAGGUGUCAUAGCUUGGCUCAGCUUGGAAUGCACUCCCUCCACCUCCAACCAGAGCUCCCCACAACUGACCCUGCCUUCUUCUGCAAGCUCCAUUUCAUCAAGGGAAACGAUCCUUAUUGCCUCACCAUUUCCCACGUGAAGUCUGUAUUGACAUUCUCAUAGACCUGGGAUAUUGUGUCUGCAGCACAUAGUCCAAUUAUUUUCAUGUUAUCUACUGACAGGUCUAUUUGUCUCCCUGUUACACUGUGAGCUCCGUGAGGGCAGAAACAAUGUUAGUAUUUUCACUGCUGUGUCCCCAGCGCCUGGUCCGGGGCCCGGCACACAGCAGGCAUAUAAUAAGCAUGUGUUGAAUCAAUAAAGGCAUCAAAGAAUAAACCAAUACAUCAAUCAAUAAA
RNAcentral lists this long non-coding RNA (967 nucleotides) under Homo sapiens (human). RNAcentral's name for it is "MIR7-3 host gene". Lineage: Eukaryota; Metazoa; Chordata; Mammalia; Primates; Hominidae. The record is from RNAcentral.